CAGUCGCCGCGGUAAUACGAAGGGUGCAAGCGUUACUCGGAAUUACUGGGCGUAAAGCGUGCGUAGGUGGUGGUUUAAGUCCGUUGUGAAAGCCCUGGGCUCAACCUGGGAAUUGCAGUGGAUACUGGGUCACUAGAGUGUGGUAGAGGAUAGUGGAAUUUCCGGUGUAGCAGUGAAAUGCGUAGAGAUCGGAAGGAACAUCUGUGGCGAAGGCGACUAUCUGGGCCAACACUGACUCUGAGGCACGAAAGCGUGGGGAGCAAACAGGAUUAGAUACCCCCGUAGUCCCUGUCUCUUAUAC
RNAcentral lists this ribosomal RNA (301 nucleotides) under uncultured bacterium. Its description in RNAcentral is "partial 16S ribosomal RNA". It matches the Rfam family "Bacterial small subunit ribosomal RNA", at positions 509 to 807 of the family's 1533-position model. The record is from RNAcentral.